Molecule: small nucleolar RNA, 107 nt
Organism: Dioscorea cayenensis subsp. rotundata (Guinea yam)
Lineage: Eukaryota; Viridiplantae; Streptophyta; Magnoliopsida; Dioscoreales; Dioscoreaceae
Source: RefSeq, a predicted model, not a curated record
AGGUUAUGAUUGGGACACUUCCUCAAGAGGUCCUUAAAUCUCUCCCAUGUCUCAAAUAAUGAUUUGAUAUCCAUCUGAGUCAAUGAAGUGAUUUCUUUUUGAAGCUU